CCUACGGGGUGCUGCAGUGGGGAAUAUUGGACAAUGGGCGAAAGCCUGAUCCAGCCAUGCCGCGUGUGUGAGGAAGGCCUUCGGGUUGUAAAGCACUUUCAGUGGGGAAGAAAGCCUUGGGGCUAAUACCCUCGAGGAAGGACAUCACCCACAGAAGAAGCACCGGCUAACUCCGUGCCAGCAGCCGCGGUAAUACGGAGGGUGCGAGCGUUAAUCGGAAUUACUGGGCGUAAAGCGCGCGUAGGCGGUCUGAUAAGCCGGUUGUGAAAGCCCCGGGCUCAACCUGGGAACGGCAUCCGGAACUGUCAGGCUAGAGUGCAGGAGAGGAAGGUAGAAUUCCCGGUGUAGCGGUGAAAUGCGUAGAGAUCGGGAGGAAUACCAGUGGCGAAGGCGGCCUUCUGGACUGACACUGACGCUGAGGUGCGAAAGCGUGGGUAGCAAACAGGAUUAGAUACCCGAGUAGUC
Molecule: ribosomal RNA, 465 nt
Filed under: Vreelandella stevensii
Lineage: Bacteria; Pseudomonadati; Pseudomonadota; Gammaproteobacteria; Oceanospirillales; Halomonadaceae
Description: partial 16S ribosomal RNA
Rfam family: Bacterial small subunit ribosomal RNA
Source: RNAcentral